AGUGAACGCUGGCGGUAGGCCUAACACAUGCAAGUCGAACGGCAGCACAGUAAGAGCUUGCUCUUACGGUUGGCGAGUGGCGGACGGGUGAGGAAUACAUCGGAAUCUACUUUUUCGUGGGGGAUAACGUAGGGAAACUUACGCUAAUACCGCAUACGACCUACGGGUGAAAGCAGGGGAUCUUCGGACCUUGCGCGAUUCAAUGAGACGAUGCCGCAUUAGCUAGUUGGCGGGGUAAAGGCCCACCAAGGCGACGAUCCGUAGCUGGUCUGAGAGGAUGAUCGGCCACACUGGAACUGAGACACGGUCCAGACUCCUACGGGAGGCAGCAGUAGGGAAUAUUCGGCAAUGGGCGAAAGCCUGAUCCAGCCAUACCGCGUGGGUGAAGAAGGCCUUCGGGUUGUAAAGCCCUUUUGUUGGGAAAGAAAAGCAGCAGGUUAAUCCCCCGCUGUUCUGACGGUACCUAAAGAAUAAGCACCGGCUAACUUCGUG
This 492-nucleotide ribosomal RNA is filed under the name uncultured bacterium. RNAcentral's name for it is "partial 16S ribosomal RNA". It matches the Rfam family "Bacterial small subunit ribosomal RNA", at positions 29 to 507 of the family's 1533-position model. The record is from RNAcentral.